This 1383-nucleotide long non-coding RNA is filed under the name Homo sapiens (human). RNAcentral describes it as "non-protein coding lnc-MTMR6-1:2". Lineage: Eukaryota; Metazoa; Chordata; Mammalia; Primates; Hominidae. The record is from RNAcentral.
GCAAGGUACGCUGGGACCAGGCGAGAAUAGGCGUACUGCCUAAUCUCUUAAAGGAGUAGGCUCCCAGAGUUUAAAAACAGUAAAACCAUUUCUGUCAUUUUUUAGUUCUUCUAUCGUAGCAUCUGUACUGACAUAAUCCGCACUUUAGGGUGAUGAAUGUCAAUUGCUACUUCUAUCUAGCCUCCUGCCAAAAUUGAUGCUCAGAAUCGCAGAAUCGGGGAGGUCCCUCCUGAGCAUCUCUAAGCUCCCCACUCAGAAAAGGAGGCGGCUUCGGGCUUUCGUUGGCUGCCGCCCCAUCCCUAAGAAGGAAGGGGAGCGUGUCUGCUUCCUGAAGGUUCGGAAAUCAAUCGAAAAUAAUCCAUGCAACCGUCCCACGACGUGAGCCCCACCCCUGCGCCCCAGGCCUCGCGGAGCCAGUUGGUCGCAGUUGUUGCGAGCCCGACGCCCAGCCCCGAAGGGGGCCCAGAAGAGCGUCCCAGGCGUCCGUGGGGUGGCCGGCUGUGGUCCUGGCGCCCAGAAGUGGCCAGGCCCGCUGGAUUUCCUGGGAUGCGGUCAAGUCCACAAAUACUGUCCGUGCAUCCUGAUGCUGGAGGGCGGGACCUUGGGCCGAGCGAGUGUGGCUCCGCCAGAAGGGCCCUCGGACACAACCGGUGCUGGAGGAACUACAAAGUGGAAGGAUUAGGAAACGCACAGGAACAUGUACGAAAGAAGGCGAAAUGUGAGGUGUAACUUACAUUUCUAGGAUAACUCAAGAAAAAUUCGCGUUUAAAGAGAACCUCUCUGGCGAAGCAUCAGGAAAGGCUUCCUGGUGGUGGUGCAUUCGAGGGUUGUCAUCAUAGUGUUAGUUUUUAUUUUUCCCUCAGGGAUUGUUACAUUACUCCCCCAAAUGGUUUUCCUACUCGUGAUCUCUAACAAAAUCCAUCCCAUAAGCAACCCCCGGAUUUAUGAUCUAAAAAGCCCAGUGGCUCUUUAGUUUGGCACUUGAUGACCUCCGUAUGAUUAGUCUUUCUAACCUCAUCUCACAGUUCUCCCUAAUUCAGUACUUUAAUCUUCCGUUGAGCUUGGGCAUUGCCACCAGCUGUGGACUGAACUAUUUCCCUCCUCCCCCAAUCCAUAUGUUAAAGCCCUACCCCACCCCAAUAUGUUGGUAUUUGGAGAUGGAGCCUUUGGGAGGUAAUUCAAUUUAGAUGAGGUCACCUUGGUGGGUCGCCCAUGGCGAGAUUAGUGCCCUUAUGAGAAAAAACAACGAAGAGCUUGUUCUCCUCUGUGUGCCAUGUGAGGACAGAGCAAGAAGGGGCUUUCACCUGGAACCCAAACUGCCCCAUCUUUAUCUGGGACUUAGCCUCCAGAAUUGAGAGAAGUAAAUGUCUGUUGUUAUAGCCA